CGAAGGUGGCAAGCGUUACUCGGAAUUACUAGGCGUAAAGGGCAGGUAGGUGGUUCAGUAAGUCUGUUGUGGAAGCUCUCGGCUUAACCGGGAGAGGCCAACGGAAACUACUGGACUUGAGUGUAGGAGAGGGUACUGGAAUUCCCGGUGUAGCGGUGAAAUGCGCAGAGAUCGGGAGGAACACCAAUGGCGAAAGCAGGUACCUGGACUAUUACUGACACUAAGCUGCGAAAGCUAGGGGAGCAAACAGGAUUAGAUACCCUGGUAGUCCUAGCUGUAAACGAUGCACAUUAGACGUGAGGGGUAUCGACCCCCUUCGUGUCGACGCAAACGCAUUAAAUGUGCCGCCUGGGGAGUACGGCCGCAAGGUUG
Molecule: ribosomal RNA, 372 nt
Filed under: uncultured organism
Description: bacterial SSU rRNA
Rfam family: Bacterial small subunit ribosomal RNA
Source: RNAcentral